CCUACGGGUGGCAGCAGUCGAGAAUCAUUCACAAUGGGGGAAACCCUGAUGGUGCGACGCCGCGUGGGGGAAUGAAGGUCUUCGGAUUGUAAACCCCUGUCAUGUGGGAGCAAAUUAAAAAGAUAGUACCACAAGAGGAAGAGACGGCUAACUCUGUGCCAGCAGCCGCGGUAAUACAGAGGUCUCAAGCGUUGUUCGGAAUCACUGGGCGUAAAGCGUGCGUAGGCUGUUUCGUAAGUCGUGUGUGAAAGGCGCGGGCUCAACCCGCGGACGGCACAUGAUACUGCGAGACUAGAGUGAUGGAGGGGGAACCGGAAUUCUCGGUGUAGCAGUGAAAUGCGUAGAUAUCGAGAGGAACACUCGUGGCGAAGGCGAGUUCCUGGACAUUAACUGACGCUGAGGCACGAAGGCCAGGGGAGCGAAAGGGAUUAGAUACCCGAGUAGUC
RNAcentral lists this ribosomal RNA (446 nucleotides) under uncultured bacterium. RNAcentral's name for it is "partial 16S ribosomal RNA". It matches the Rfam family "Bacterial small subunit ribosomal RNA", at positions 338 to 795 of the family's 1533-position model. The record is from RNAcentral.